GUCCAGGGUAGCCUAGUGGUCAUGGCAUCUGCCCAGUAAGCGGGAGGUCGUGGGUUCGAUUCCCAUCCCUUGACA
This 75-nucleotide transfer RNA is filed under the name Cordylochernes scorpioides. RNAcentral's name for it is "tRNA-Thr". It matches the Rfam family "tRNA". From Rfam's summary of the family: Transfer RNA (tRNA) molecules are approximately 80 nucleotides in length. Their secondary structure includes four short double-helical elements and three loops (D, anti-codon, and T loops). The record is from RNAcentral. Lineage: Eukaryota; Metazoa; Arthropoda; Arachnida; Pseudoscorpiones; Chernetidae.